UACGGAGGGGGCUAGCGUUAUUCGGAAUUAUUGGGCGUAAAGGGCGCGUAGGCGGCUUUCUAAGUCAAAGGUGAAAUCCCUCGGCUCAACUGAGGAACUGCCUUUGAAACUGGACGGCUUGAGGCCGGGAGAGGGUAGCGGAAUUCCCAGUGUAGCGGUGAAAUGCGUAGAUACUGGGAGGAACACCGGUGGCGAAGGCGGCUACCUGGACCGGUUCUGACGCUGAGGCGCGAAAGCGUGGGGAGCGAACAGG
Molecule: ribosomal RNA, 253 nt
Filed under: uncultured bacterium
Lineage: Bacteria
Description: partial 16S ribosomal RNA
Rfam family: Bacterial small subunit ribosomal RNA
Source: RNAcentral